Molecule: ribosomal RNA, 775 nt
Filed under: uncultured Neocallimastigales
Lineage: Eukaryota; Fungi; Neocallimastigomycota; Neocallimastigomycetes; Neocallimastigales
Description: partial large subunit ribosomal RNA
Rfam family: Eukaryotic large subunit ribosomal RNA
Source: RNAcentral
ACACGCAUGACACACUGCAUAUCAAUAAGCGGAGGAAAAGAAACUAACAAGGAUUCCCCUAGUAACGGCGAGUGAAGCGGGAAGAGCUCAAAUUUGAAAUCUUAAAGGGUUUCCCUUUACGAAUUGUAGUUUAAAGAAGUGUUUUCUGUUGGAGUUUCGGUAAAAGUUCUUUGGAAUAGGACAUCAUAGAGGGUGAGAAUCCCGUAUUUGACCGUUACUUUCCAGCUGUGUGAUACACUUUCAAAGAGUCGGAUUGUUUGGGAAUGCAGUCCAAAAUGGGUGGUAAAUUUCAUCUAAAGCUAAAUAUUGGCGAGAGACCGAUAGCGAACAAGUACCGUGAGGGAAAGAUGAAAAGAACUUUGAAAAGAGAGUUAAACAGUACGUGAAAUUGUCAAAAGGGAAGCGUUUGACACCAGUGUUGUUUAGUUGAAAAUCAAUUCAAUAAUUUUUGAUUUUGAGUAGUAUUGACUUCAUCAGCUUGCUGCUUUCUUUUCGGAAAUUAUUGAAUGCACUUUUCAGUUAACAAGUCAACAUCAAUUUCUUUUGUUGUAAAAGGGUAAGAGGAAGGUGGCUUACGCUUCGGCGUAAGUGUUUAUAGCCUUUUACCUCUGCAAUCGGAGAGAUUGAGGACAGCAGCGUAGACUCUUCGGGGUUAGAUACACUUGUGCUAAGCUAUAGCCUUGUAUAGACAACUUGUUGACUAUGCUCAGUCAUGUAGCUUACUCGCAUGUGCUAUUUUACCUACGCUUAGGAUGUUGAACUACUGAGACAUAGA